UACGGGAGGCAGCAGUGGGGAAUAUUGCACAAUGGGCGCAAGCCUGAUGCAGCAACGCCGCGUGAGCGAAGAAGGUCUUCGGAUCGUAAAGCUCUGUCCUCAGGAACGAAGAAGUGACGGUACCUAAGGAGGAAGCCCCGGCUAACUACGUGCCAGCAGCCGCGGUA
RNAcentral lists this ribosomal RNA (167 nucleotides) under uncultured rumen bacterium. RNAcentral's name for it is "partial 16S ribosomal RNA". It matches the Rfam family "Bacterial small subunit ribosomal RNA", at positions 340 to 522 of the family's 1533-position model. The record is from RNAcentral.